Molecule: ribosomal RNA, 443 nt
Filed under: uncultured bacterium
Lineage: Bacteria
Description: partial 16S ribosomal RNA
Rfam family: Bacterial small subunit ribosomal RNA
Source: RNAcentral
CCUACGGGAGGCAGCAGUGGGGAAUCUUGGGCAAUGGGCGCAAGCCUGACCCAGCAACGCCGCGUGAAGGAAGAAGGCUUUCGGGUUGUAAACUUCUUUUGUCAGGGACGCAGCAAGUGACGGUACUUGACGAAUAAGCCACGGCUAAAUACGUGCCAGCAGCCGCGGUAAUACGUCGGUGGCAAGCGUUAUCCGGAUUUAUUGGGUGUAAAGGGCGGGUAGGCGGGGUAGUAAGUCAGAUGGGAAAACCACGGGCUCAACCUGGUGCCGGCAUUUGAUACUGCUAGUCGUGAGUGCUGGAGAGGGAAUCGGAAUUCCCGGUGUAGCGGUGAAAUGCGUAGAUAUAGGGAGGAACACCAGUGGAGAAGGCGGGUUGCUGGACAUUAACUGACGCUGAGGCGCGAAAGCGUGGGGAGCAAACAGGAUUAGAUACCCGAGUAGUC